Neopsephotus bourkii (Bourke's parrot) is the source of this 986-nucleotide long non-coding RNA. RefSeq lists it as uncharacterized. The record is from RefSeq and is a predicted model, not a curated record. The transcript is spliced from 2 exons. NCBI's taxonomy places the organism in Eukaryota, Metazoa, Chordata, Aves, Psittaciformes, Psittacidae.
AGACAGAAGCCAUGGAUCCAGCUCUGUACUCUGCCCCACACGACUUCCUACAAAAUGCCAUUGUCUUCACUGGGAUCCCGUCCUGGUUUUCCUUCGGUGUUGGAUUUGCAGUAGUGAAGGACAGGGACUAGCCCAUGCCUCCACACACCUUUGCUGAGGUACACCCGCUGACCUCAUGCUUUAGUGCAUUUCCUCCUUCAUUUGCUUUAUUUUAAAUAAACUCUACAUGUUAAAUGCUUCUGGAGAGGAAAACUGUUACAAAAGAGGUUGGGAGUGAAACUGGUAGGUACUGAAUAGGCUUUAAUGGAAAUUAAAUAUUUAGAGAGCAGAGACAUGACAACUAUAGAGACUUCCUGAGCAAUCCUCGGGGCAGAAACAGUUUUGUAGAUGGCCGUGAUCCAGCAAACCGCUUAAGACACAGGCACAGUCUCACUGAGUUAAUUGAGAAUAUAUGUGUGUGUGUUUAAGUGCUUUGCUGGACAACAGCCUUGAAUACGCUAUGCUUUCACUUAAAUUCCAUUUUUAGGUUCUGCUUUCAUGUAAGAAUAGGAAUCUUCACUGGUUCAUUGCCUUAUAACAACAGCAGGAGACAGUAUCAAUCUGUAAGCAUCAAUCAAUAGCUAAACAUUGAAAUGAAGGCUGAUUUAAAAAAUCUAAACACUUAAUAACUAUCCUUAAGAGCCCCUAAAUCUGUUCCAUUUGUAAUAAAUGACUUCCAAAAGCAAAUUUACUUUUGGGUUAAUGGGAACCGGUAUGUUUUGUUCUGUGAUGAUCAGCUUGAUGAAAACCACCAAAAAAGUCCCCCGAAACUAAACCAACAAACCAGAAUCCCACCACAUUUGAAUGCUUAUCUGAGUCCCUUUCAGCUCCUGAGUUUGCAGAUCUACUUCAAGGGGAAAUUAUUUCUGACGUGGGCUGUUUUAUUUCAAUGUCUACUCACAAGGCAAAAGCUGCGGGAUGUGAACAAAGUGCGUUUGUAUUGCCCA